This 253-nucleotide ribosomal RNA is filed under the name uncultured bacterium. RNAcentral describes it as "partial 16S ribosomal RNA". It matches the Rfam family "Bacterial small subunit ribosomal RNA", at positions 524 to 776 of the family's 1533-position model. The record is from RNAcentral.
UACGUAGGGUGCAAGCGUUAAUCGGAAUUACUGGGCGUAAAGCGUGCGCAGGCGGUGAUGCAAGACAGAUGUGAAAUCCCCGGGCUUAACCUGGGAACUGCAUUUGUGACUGCAUUGCUGGAGUGCGGCAGAGGGGGAUGGAAUUCCGCGUGUAGCAGUGAAAUGCGUAGAUAUGUGGAGGAACACCGAUGGCGAAGGCAAUCCCCUGGGCCUGCACUGACGCUCAUGCACGAAAGCGUGGGGAGCAAACAGG